ACGAACGCUGGCGGCGUGCCUAACACAUGCAAGUCGAGCGGAGACAGUGAGUAGCUUGCUAUGAACUGUUUUAGCGGCGGACGGGUGAGUAACGCGUGAGCAACCUUUCCCAGACAGGGGAAUAACACACCGAAAGGUGUACUAAUACCGCAUAAGACCACGGGAUCACAUGGUUCUGAGGUAAAAGAUUUAUCGGUUUGGGGUGGGCUCGCGUCCGAUUAGGUAGUUGGUGAGGUAACGGCCCACCAAGCCGACGAUCGGUAGCCGACCUGAGAGGGUGAUCGGCCACAUUGGGACUGAGACACGGCCCAAACUCCUACGGGAGGCAGCAGUGGGGAAUAUUGGGCAAUGGGGGAAACCCUGACCCAGCAACGCCGCGUGGAGGAAGAAGGUUUUCGGAUCGUAAACUCCUGUCCUUGGAGACGAGUAGAAGACGGUAUCCAAGGAGGAAGCCCCGGCUAACUACGUGCCAGCAGCCGCGGUAAUACGUAGGGGGCAAGCGUUGUCCGGAAUAAUUGGGCGUAAAGGGCGCGUAGGCGGCUCGGUAAGUCUGGAGUGAAAGUCCUGCUUUUAAGGUGGGAAUUGCUUUGGAUACUGUCGGGCUUGAGUGCAGGAGAGGUUAGUGGAAUUCCCAGUGUAGCGGUGAAAUGCGUAGAGAUUGGGAGGAACACCAGUGGCGAAGGCGACUAACUGGACUGUAACUGACGCUGAGGCGCGAAAGUGUGGGGAGCAAACAGGAUUAGAUACCCUGGUAGUCCACACUGUAAACGAUGAAUGCUAGGUGUAGGGGGUAUCGACCCCUUCUGUGCCGCAGUCAACACAAUAAGCAUUCCGCCUGGGGAGUACGGCCGCAAGGUUGAAACUCAAAGGAAUUGACGGGGGCCCGCACAAGCAGCGGAGCAUGUGGUUUAAUUCGACGCAACGCGAAGAACCUUACCAGGUCUUGACAUCCACUUAAACUUACAGAGAUGUAAGGUGUGCUUGCACAAAG
RNAcentral lists this ribosomal RNA (991 nucleotides) under human gut metagenome. RNAcentral describes it as "bacterial SSU rRNA". It matches the Rfam family "Bacterial small subunit ribosomal RNA", at positions 29 to 1029 of the family's 1533-position model. The record is from RNAcentral.